GACGAACGCUGGCGGCGUGCCUAAUACAUGCAAGUAGAACGCUGAAGGAGGAGCUUGCUUCUCCGGAUGAGUUGCGAACGGGUGAGUAACGCGUAGGUAACCUGCCUGGUAGCGGGGGAUAACUAUUGGAAACGAUAGCUAAUACCGCAUAACAGUAGAUGUUGCAUGACAUUUGCUUAAAAGGUGCAAUUGCAUCACUACCAGAUGGACCUGCGUUGUAUUAGCUAGUUGGUGGGGUAACGGCUCACCAAGGCGACGAUACAUAGCCGACCUGAGAGGGUGAUCGGCCACACUGGGACUGAGACACGGCCCAGACUCCUACGGGAGGCAGCAGUAGGGAAUCUUCGGCAAUGGACGGAAGCCUGACCGAGCAACGCCGCGUGAGUGAAGAAGGUUUUCGGAUCGUAAAGCUCUGUUGUAAGAGAAGAACGAGUGUGAGAGUGGAAAGUUCACACUGUGACG
RNAcentral lists this ribosomal RNA (462 nucleotides) under Streptococcus mitis. Its description in RNAcentral is "bacterial SSU rRNA". It matches the Rfam family "Bacterial small subunit ribosomal RNA", at positions 28 to 474 of the family's 1533-position model. The record is from RNAcentral. Lineage: Bacteria; Bacillati; Bacillota; Bacilli; Lactobacillales; Streptococcaceae.